AUGCUUUCAAACUUUGUAUGCUAAACAAGAAUAAAGCUGUGUAAAUGAUCAUUGAAAUAGAAAACUGCUGGGCUAUCGCCGACCGCACCACAGUGCACUCUUAUCAUGGAUAGUUGAUAUAGUGCAUUUGAUACUGCUAGGCCCCACUAGAUAAAAUAUUUCGUAAGAAGGUGCCAGCUGGGGUACCAUCAAUCACACCACAGUGCACCCCUAUCAUGAGCAGUCGAUACAGUGCAUUUAAUACUGCUAGACCCCACUAGACAUAAUAUUUUAUAAGGAGGUAUCGGUUGGGCUACCACCGACCACACCACAUUGUACCCCUACUAUGAGCAGUCG
This 336-nucleotide long non-coding RNA is filed under the name Elaeis guineensis (African oil palm). RNAcentral describes it as "long non-coding RNA (EGUI_LNC047152)". The record is from RNAcentral. Lineage: Eukaryota; Viridiplantae; Streptophyta; Magnoliopsida; Arecales; Arecaceae.